Long non-coding RNA from Poecilia latipinna (sailfin molly), 2375 nucleotides. RefSeq lists it as uncharacterized. The record is from RefSeq and is a predicted model, not a curated record. Lineage: Eukaryota; Metazoa; Chordata; Actinopteri; Cyprinodontiformes; Poeciliidae. The transcript has 3 exons.
GAUAGAAGUCUUUGCAAGGAAUGACUCUUUAUGAAACCCUGGAGAGAGUCAUGUUCAGCCCACAUCUGAACAUGAAGGUUCUGUCUGAAUUGUGUGUAGAACGCAGUUUUUGCACACAAUUCGAUAAGCCACGUCUGACUAGUGGUUAAACCUGCCAGUGAGAGCAGACAAAGUGUUGAGGAGUGAUUGAAGCAUAUUUAAAAUGAGUACAGGACAUUAACCUUUCCUUUAUUUAGCUUUUGCCCGGUUCAGUCAUUGAGGUGAAUGAAUAUCAAAUGACAAACGGACGAGCAGAGAAUGCAAAUCAGGAUGCAGGAAAAUGAACCCGAUCAUGGGUGCAGGCCUCUUGUGACUGGUUAUAUGUGGAUGCUUUGCAUGAGAGCACAUGGAUAGGAAAUCACAUGCGUUUUAAUUGUUGUCAUUGCUCGAUGUAUGGUUUCGAAAAUAUUGCAACAACCUUCUUUGGUGAAAGCUAAAUGAGGUGCUCUCGAAUGCAAUUGCCCUAUUUCUUUUUCCCCGUAUGUAUUUUACUGGCAUUUCAGGCAUAAUAUAAAAAUGCUUGUUGCCUACAUAUGUUAGGGAAACUUUGCUGUGUGAAAGCAAUAUCUAGAGAUGUCAUCCCAACAUGACUGGCUUUAUUAAAUCAAGGUUUACUCUGCAGCCCUGGGAAGUCAACACCAGGCAACCCCUCAGAGAGGCCAUGUGGCCGACGUGGAGGCAGGUCAGCAGGGAAGCAAAGGAGCACCAGGUCACAAACACAAGGAGAGACGCGGGGCACUCAACCCCCUAUCCAAGCACAUCACCGUGACCUCCCCAGAAUCCUGACACCCCGGCGGCCAGACGAAUCUAACACCGAGGGGAAGGAAUCCCCGUCCCUGCAGAGAACCCCAAUCUGCCAGGCAAGCAUGAGCUGUCCACAGCAGCUGGAACUCAGAAGGACCAGCAUACGGAGGGCCGUCCUGCUCAGUCGGACAGCUGUAGGAAAGACGAGGGAGCGGCAUCCCCACCAGACCCGAGAGCUCAGCCUCUAUAUCCCAGAACAUCACAGAGAAAGCAUCGGAUCAGAUCGGGUACUGCUACUUUUGGCAUUGUGAGCAGCAUGUGUGGCCUUGCAGCUGAGAUCCUUGGCUCUCUGUGACCCAACUUGGAAACGCUGGAAGGACUGACACUCAGCCAAGGUGUGGGACAGCGAUCAGCAACAGUGUCAACUUGCGUUUGAGCUAAGUGAUGAUGAUAUCCGGCUGUGGCAAAAUGUGCUGUGACUACACUCGUGUCAUCAUCACCGUGGCUUAAUAACAACAAUGAAAAACAAAAACAAAAAAUUACAGUAAGUGUUUGCUGGAGAGUUGAAGGAGUCUUACUCAUCAGAUGAUGCUGACAGAAAUAUUAACUAACACAUAGAACAACCUGCAGAUGGUAACCAAGUAUGACUGCUGCACAAUAUACACACAAGUGAAGAUAUUAUCUAUCAUCUUUUGAUUGCAGGUCUUCAAAACUUUGUUCUACAUUCUGAAAGUAUUCUCUGAGCUUCGAUUUCACAGCAAAAUUUAGAAAUAUUUCUCUUUGUGUGCUUGAGUGGUUUUAGGAAGUGAGCCUUUUCCACACUUCCUGUCUGAUGAAAUAUUCUUUGUGAGAAAGAACGAGCCAAAGGCUAGGUGUAAUAGGAGGGGGAAUAAAAUGUCCCUUACAUGCAAACAAUGGAGUCUUUGGACUGAUCACAUUAGACAAUAUUUGUUGUAUUAAACCUUUGAAACUCUUAUCUUUUCUUGGCAAGACCUGUGAAAGUCAAGUUUGGUUGCUCUACAAAUUCAGCUCACCGGACCGUUGAGCACUUUGAAGUGGUUAUGGUGCAAAUAAUGUUGGGAAGUACACAUCGCUGACGAUGUCAUAUUUCUUCUCCUAUUUCAGACACUCAACACUCUGUGUGCUCACAUCCUGCUGCCUCAGCUCUUUCGCAUUUUCAACUCAUUGACUUUUUUUAUUUCUUAUACAGAAGAUUCAAAUGAUACAGAGGAAUAUCUUUCUGUUUUGAAAAAUGUGCUGAUAAAGUUACUCCGCUGGCACCGGAUUCCCUACGUCAGUUUGAAAUGCAAAACCACCCGGACCGGAUAAACGAUAAUUCAGAUGCUGACUGCAGUUGCUUCUGAUCUGUUUAAUUUAAUUCCCAUUUGAAUUGUGUUUUUGAAUUCAUUACAAUCGCUGUGUAUUUUAGAAAUACGAUAAUGAUUCUUUAGUUUUUUUUACUUUCUUUACCGUCCUUCUCACUUCACUUGAUGGCAAGAUAAACUUCUUUGUCCCUUUGUCUCAUCUUUCUUCCAGUUUUCAGCUUUUCCACAAAUAAUCUUAUUGUAGAUGCAUACAAGUUGAGUUGAGUA